Molecule: ribosomal RNA, 301 nt
Filed under: uncultured bacterium
Lineage: Bacteria
Description: partial 16S ribosomal RNA
Rfam family: Bacterial small subunit ribosomal RNA
Source: RNAcentral
CAGUCGCCACGGUAAUACAGAGGGUGCGAGCGUUAAUCGGAUUUACUGGGCGUAAAGCGUGCGUAGGCGGCCUUUUAAGUCGGAUGUGAAAUCCCUGAGCUUAACUUAGGAAUUGCAUUCGAUACUGGGAAGCUAGAGUAUGGGAGAGGAUGGUAGAAUUCCAGGUGUAGCGGUGAAAUGCGUAGAGAUCUGGAGGAAUACCGAUGGCGAAGGCAGCCAUCUGGCCUAAUACUGACGCUGAGGUACGAAAGCAUGGGGAGCAAACAGGAUUAGAUACCCGCGUAGUCCCUGUCUCUUAUAC